CAAUUUACAGCCCUCUUAUUACCUUUAUUAUCUGUAGUUUCUAUUUUAUUUAUGGAUUGAAAAAAAACCGUAAUCUUUGAAAAUGGGGGUAGUCAACACCUCACUGUGACGUCGUUAUCCGGUUUAAAAGAGUUUAUUUUGUUCUGCCAACGGGGUUAAGUUAACAUCGUUCUUCGCUAAUUGAUCGGGGUUUGUUAAUUCUAUUCCGUUCAAAAGCAAAACUUGAUCGAGAUUAAAGACUUGACCGGGAUUAACUUUGAUAGUGUGAACGUAGUUUAACAGAACGAUGACUAAUCCGUGGCUAUUACUAUACAGUUCCUACUUGCCCGCUUUGUUUGAAAAUUUCCAGCCAAUCAACAUCUCGGGCUCUAUCGAUGACGUCAGUAAAAUGGCGGCAGUUCGAAAUGAAGAAUGUUUUAAGUCACACUUAAAACAUUUAAUAUAUUCUUUAAAUUAUAUUUCACUCAAUAAUAACUCAAUCAAAUAUGGAGGAUUCUAUAAACUAUGAAAAUUUAACGCAUGCGUAAGAAGACAGGG
RNAcentral lists this long non-coding RNA (537 nucleotides) under Androctonus crassicauda. The record is from RNAcentral. Lineage: Eukaryota; Metazoa; Arthropoda; Arachnida; Scorpiones; Buthidae.